CCUACGGGAGGCAGCAGUGAGGAAUAUUGGUCAAUGGGCGGAAGCCUGAACCAGCCAAGCCGCGUGAGGGAAGAAGGUACAGCGUAUCGUAAACCUCUUUUGUCAGGGAACAAAGGCGGGGACUAGUCCCCGGAUGAGGGUACCUGAAGAAAAAGCAUCGCCUAACUCCGCGCCAGCAGACGCGGUAAUACGGAGUAUGCGAGCUUUCUCGGGAUCUAUUGGGUUUAAAGGGUGCGCAGGCGGCCUGUUAAGUCAGCGGUAAAAGCCCGGGGCUAAACCCGGGCGAGCCGUUGAAACUGGCUGGCUGGAGUUGGAGAGAGGUACGCGGAAUGCGUGGUGUAGCGGUGAAAUGCUUAGAGAUGGCGCAGAACCCCGAUUGCGAAGGCAGCGUACCGGCUCCACACUGACGCUGAGGCACGAAAGCGUGGGUAUCGAACAGGAUUAGAUACCCCUGUAGUC
Molecule: ribosomal RNA, 459 nt
Filed under: uncultured bacterium
Lineage: Bacteria
Description: partial 16S ribosomal RNA
Rfam family: Bacterial small subunit ribosomal RNA
Source: RNAcentral